This 302-nucleotide ribosomal RNA is filed under the name uncultured bacterium. RNAcentral's name for it is "partial 16S ribosomal RNA". It matches the Rfam family "Bacterial small subunit ribosomal RNA", at positions 508 to 807 of the family's 1533-position model. The record is from RNAcentral.
GCAGCAGCCGCGGGAAUACGAAGGGUGCAAGCGUUACUCGGAAUUACUGGGCGUAAAGCGUGCGUAGGUGGUGGUUUAAGUCCGUUGUGAAAGCCCUGGGCUCAACCUGGGAAUUGCAGUGGAUACUGGGUCACUAGAGUGUGGUAGAGGAUAGUGGAAUUUCCGGUGUAGCAGUGAAAUGCGUAGAGAUCGGAAGGAACAUCUGUGGCGAAGGCGACUAUCUGGGCCAACACUGACACUGAGGCACGAAAGCGUGGGGAGCAAACAGGAUUAGAUACCCCAGUAGUCCCUGUCUCUUAUAC